RNAcentral lists this ribosomal RNA (492 nucleotides) under uncultured bacterium. RNAcentral describes it as "partial 16S ribosomal RNA". It matches the Rfam family "Bacterial small subunit ribosomal RNA", at positions 29 to 507 of the family's 1533-position model. The record is from RNAcentral.
AGUGAACGCUGGCGGUAGGCCUAACACAUGCAAGUCGAACGGCAGCACAGUAAGAGCUUGCUCUUACGGGUGGCGAGUGGCGGACGGGUGAGGAAUACAUCGGAAUCUACUUUUUCGUGGGGGAUAACGUAGGGAAACUUACGCUAAUACCGCAUACGACCUACGGGUGAAAGCAGGGGAUCUUCGGACCUUGCGCGAUUGAAUGAGCCGAUGUCGGAUUAGCUAGUUGGCGGGGUAAAGGCCCACCAAGGCGACGAUCCGUAGCUGGUCUGAGAGGAUGAUCAGCCACACUGGAACUGAGACACGGUCCCGGCUCCUACGGGAGGCAGCAGUGGGGAAUAUUGGGACAUGGGCGCAAGCCUGAUCCAGCCAUACCGGGUGGGUGAAGAAGGCCUUCGGGUUUUAAAGCCCUUUUGUUGGGAAAGAAAAGCAGCAGGUUAAUACCCCGCUGUUCUGACGGUACCCAAAGAAUAAGCACCGGCUAACUUCGUG